GAUGAACGCUGGCGGCGUGCCUAAUACGUGCAAGUCGAGCGAACAGAUGAGGAGCUUGCUCCUCUGACGUUAGCGGCGGACGGGUGAGUAACACGUGGAUAACCUACCUAUAAGACUGGGAUAACUUCGGGAAACCGGAGCUAAUACCGGAUAAUAUAUUGAACCGCAUGGUUCAAUAGUGAAAGACGGUUUUGCUGUCACUUAUAGAUGGAUCCGCGCCGCAUUAGCUAGUUGGUAAGGUAACGGCUUACCAAGGCAACGAUGCGUAGCCGACCUGAGAGGGUGAUCAGCCACACUGGAACUGAGACACGGUCCAGACUCCUACGGGAGGCAGCAGUAGGGAAUCUUCCGCAAUGGGCGAAAGCCUGACGGAGCAACGCCGCGUGAGUGAUGAAGGUCUUCGGAUCGUAAAACUCUGUUAUUAGGGAAGAACAAAUGUGUAAGUAAAUAUGCACGUCUUGACGGUACCUAAACAGAAAGCCACGGCUAACUACGUG
This 497-nucleotide ribosomal RNA is filed under the name uncultured bacterium. RNAcentral's name for it is "partial 16S ribosomal RNA". It matches the Rfam family "Bacterial small subunit ribosomal RNA", at positions 28 to 507 of the family's 1533-position model. The record is from RNAcentral.